This is a long non-coding RNA of Pipra filicauda (Wire-tailed manakin), 100 nucleotides long. RefSeq lists it as uncharacterized. The record is from RefSeq and is a predicted model, not a curated record. The transcript has 3 exons. Lineage: Eukaryota; Metazoa; Chordata; Aves; Passeriformes; Pipridae.
GCAGCACAGCACCUCGGCAGGAAGUCUGGAGGACAGGCAGUGGAUUUACCCCGACAGGAGCUAAAACACAGAGCCUGUGUCAAGACCUUCCCACUACCAC